RNAcentral lists this ribosomal RNA (468 nucleotides) under uncultured bacterium. RNAcentral describes it as "partial 16S ribosomal RNA". It matches the Rfam family "Bacterial small subunit ribosomal RNA", at positions 28 to 507 of the family's 1533-position model. The record is from RNAcentral.
GACGAACGCUGGCGGCGUGCUUAACACAUGCAAGUCGAACGGAAAGGCCCUGCUUUUGUGGGGUGCUCGAGUGGCGAACGGGUGAGUAACACGUGUGUAACCUGCCCUUGACUUUGGGAUAACUUCAGGAAACUGGGGCUAAUACCGGAUAGGAGCUCCUGCUGCAUGGUGGGGGUUGGAAAGUUUCGGCGGUUGGGGAUGGACUCGCGGCUUAUCAGCUCGUUGGUGGGGUAGUGGCUUACCAAGGCUUUGACGGGUAGCCGGCCUGAGAGGGUGACCGGCCACAUUGGGACUGAGAUACGGCCCAGACUCCUACGGGAGGCAGCAGUGGGGAAUAUUGCACAAUGGGCGGAAGCCUGAUGCAGCAACGCCGCGUGCGGGAUGACGGCCUUCGGGUUGUAAACCGCUUUCGCCUGUGACGAAGCGUGAGUGACGGUAAUGGGUAAAGAAGCACCGGCUAACUACGUG